This 326-nucleotide long non-coding RNA is filed under the name Nicotiana benthamiana. RNAcentral describes it as "long non-coding RNA (NBEN_LNC008377)". Lineage: Eukaryota; Viridiplantae; Streptophyta; Magnoliopsida; Solanales; Solanaceae. The record is from RNAcentral.
UUAAGUGGUGCCAUGGUGUUGAGAAUAUCGGGAAAUUGAAAAGGAAAAAAGAAGUAAACAAUCAACAAUAAACAGCAACAUCAGACUGACUCAGAUUCAACCAAUUGGACAGUGAAAUUACCUUAUGAAAACCAAUCAGUAACCAAAUAGCAGAACUUGACCCAUAACUAUUUCGAAGACCAAAUCAAAACCAUUCAAUCCCUGAAUUAGUGUCUAUGAUUUUUCAGAGGCUUUCAAGGAGUUCUUACUAAUGAAAAGGAUCAGAAAUUUCUAUUUUUCUCAAAAAUUUUCAUGAAAUCAUUAGCUGUUUUUAGUUUCAGCUUUUU